RNAcentral lists this unclassified non-coding RNA (1044 nucleotides) under Hevea brasiliensis (rubber tree). Lineage: Eukaryota; Viridiplantae; Streptophyta; Magnoliopsida; Malpighiales; Euphorbiaceae. The record is from RNAcentral.
GGAACACAUAUUGGGUACACCAAUUAGUGGCAAUUGAUGCCCUCCGACUGUGGACAUAAAAUUCAGUGUAAAUACCUCCCAUACAAGCCAUUUAGCGGUACAUAUUCGAAAAUUCAGCAUACAACCGUAGAGAAACAUAUCAUUACAGAAGACCCUCAAAAGUAGACAAACUUACCAGGCAUCAAGUUAUUCAUUCUCACAUUGUUGCCUUCGGAGGCAUCCACAGGCAGAGGCGACCACCCGACCCGGCUACCGGACUCCGACCUCAACCUCAUCAUCAACAUAAACACAACAGCCGAUAAGCUCAUGAACACAACCCCACACAAUACCGAACUCACAAAUGUCCCCAAGGUAAUCCUCUUCCUCGGGCUCUCCAUAACCGAAAGCACCGGAAUCUCCCCAUCCAAACUACCCCUCUCAUUACUCAUCUUCAUAAUCUCCACCCCAUUCAACAACCCACCAAUCCUCAACGGACGAGUCAUCUUCGACGGAGUAAUCGUCACAUUCAAAACCCCAGAACCAUCAGCAUCCACCGCAAAAUCUGCAUAAUACGGAGAAGCCAACACUUGCCCCGCCGCCUCCGACAAAUCAAGAUCCUCAUACGCCACAUACCCAUUAACAUAAACAUUGAAAUACAACUCAUUCAGCGCCAUACUAGCAAUAUCACAGAAAUGCGUCCUCACCAGGUAGCGAAACCCCGCCCUCACCGGAAACGCCCACUCCAAUUUCGCACCCUCGUUCCUGAUCACCCUGGCGCUGGCAUAGACACUGUCCGGUGCGACCUCGCGGCUGGCACCGUACUUCCGGUACAUAAUCCGUCCGCUGAAGGAUACCACGGCACCAUCCGUGGACGCAUCCGGAGACCAGGUCCGCCAGAGGGUGUCGUUGAACGGGGUGACCUUGGGGCCGCCGAUGUUGAUGCGGUGGAUAGUCUCGAGGGCUUUGUUUGUGAUGCCGUAGAAGUUUUCGGUGUGGUUUUGUGACACUAGGCGGGCGACGUCGCUGAUGAGGUCAGAUGGUGCGGAGAAGAGCUCGAUGGCGUUG